RNAcentral lists this long non-coding RNA (398 nucleotides) under Homo sapiens (human). RNAcentral describes it as "HSALNT0038440". Lineage: Eukaryota; Metazoa; Chordata; Mammalia; Primates; Hominidae. The record is from RNAcentral.
ACAGCCAUGAGCCAUGGGAGAUGUCCUUGAAAUGCAUUCAUUCUGUGGGAGAAAGGACUUGGGCUGCUGCUGCUAAUGCCUACCCUUUUUCUGCGGCUUUGGCAUUUCAUAGGCAGGCCGCAGGACAGGUGAGGGGACAGAGGCCUGGAGGAAUGCAAUGCCUUUUUUGCAAUCAUUCAUGUUUUGGGAACUUUCUUCUUUAUCAAACUUUAGUGCUAAAUCAUCCAGGUUUUGUAUCUGGACUCUGGAUGGCUCUUAGAGAGAAAGGAAUUGAACACUGCAAGUCUGGACAAGAGAUCAAUGAAGUGGAAAUGCUAUGCAAAUAUUCUAAGAAAAGCAGAGAGUCUGCUACUUCUCAAUGAGUGAGACUUCUGAAGCACACACAACAAGAGCAAUCA